Molecule: ribosomal RNA, 260 nt
Filed under: uncultured bacterium
Lineage: Bacteria
Description: partial 16S ribosomal RNA
Rfam family: Bacterial small subunit ribosomal RNA
Source: RNAcentral
UACGUAGGGGGCGAGCGUUGUCCGAAGUUACUGGGACGGUAAAGCGCGCGUAGGCGGGUUGGCAAGUCAUGCGUGUGAAAGCCCGGAGCUCAACUCCGGAGGGUCGGUGGAUACUGCCAGUCUUGAAGUGGCUAGGGGGAGAAUGGAAUUACCGGUGUAGCGGUGAAAUGCGUAGAGAUCGGUAGGAACACCAGUGGCGAAGGCGGUCUCCUGGGGCCCACUUGACGCGUGAUGCGCGAAAGCCUGGGGGAGCAAACGGG